Molecule: long non-coding RNA, 420 nt
Filed under: Selaginella moellendorffii
Lineage: Eukaryota; Viridiplantae; Streptophyta; Lycopodiopsida; Selaginellales; Selaginellaceae
Description: long non-coding RNA (SMOE_LNC000580)
Source: RNAcentral
UAAGCCCAAGUUGGCCGCCGAUUACUGCAAGCGUUGCCUCUACCAGCUGUCCACGAACCCUUCGUUGUGGCCAUGGUCGCGACGAGAACAGGCUGAGAGAGCUUGCGAGAUAAGCUCUAUUCAUCGUUGGCAACUGUAUUGCGAAGUUAGCUCUUUCAAAGCGUUUCUCUUAAAUGAAAGUUUGAAAGGUUUCUUGCCUGGCUGAGAGCUUGCAGUUUUUCCUCUGGACUCCUUUCAAAAUGUAAGUCUCCGAUCGUGUCAAGAGAAAGAAAGAAUCUAUAAAUCACAAAAUAACCUUACCUAAUGCUUGCAGAGAGGUUUGUGAUGGAAUGAAUGGACGCUGUCUGGAGGUCCAGCUCUUCUCCGCGGCUCACCAGCGAUGUAGCAGUAGUGGGUUCUAGUCCAAGUUUGCGCUGCAGC